CCAUGCUCUAGUGCUACAACUGUUUUUCACAGCAUUGCAACCACCUUUGAACAAAUUAAUUGAUAAUUUUAUGUAUUAUUUAUACCAGCAUUUAUUUUCUAAGUUUACACAGAUACUGGUAUGUUGAAAGACCAAAGCCUUAGAGCACCACCAGCACCCCCUACAGGCUUCCUAACUCAGCACUCACUGUCCCUGCUGUCACCAUGUUAUUCCGUGGAGUCACAGCUCACUGCAUCAGCAAGACCAACACCUUGUACCUGAACGAGACGGCAUCACCUUCACCUGGGCCUCCCCAUGGCCCUCCGUCUGCCCUGAACGAUGCAGCAGGUACCCCACCAGCCCUUACCCCAGGCCCAACCAAGCCCCUGCUGCUAAUGAUUCCCUGGUUGGGGUCGCGACCCCAGGCUGUGGCCAAGUACUGUGAGAUCUAUUUCCGUAAAGGCCUCGACGUGUUCAUAGUGGCGAGCGAGGUGCGGAAUGGGUUAAAGUUUAAAGAGGAAACGUCAUACUCUCUCUGCUCUCCUUUCUGUCUAAAACACCUCAGAUCCCCCCUCCUCUGCUCAGUUACUGUGGCCGUGCUGGGGUCUAGACUAUGGAGCAAGGGUACUAGAUGUCCUGCAGAGUGACCGCUUUGUGUCACGCCCCCUGCUCGUGCACACCUUUUCCAUAGGAGGGACACCUUUACCCAGCUACUUGUGCACGUGUCCCACGACUCACAGAAGUACCACGGCUAAACUAAGAGGAUCAGAGGCCACAUCUAUGACAGCCUAGUGCUGGGCUCACUGGAGAGAAAUUAGUUUAUUAUGACAUAGAAACACUACUAUGAUAGGUAUGAUUUUAUAUGUUGAAAAUAAUCUAUGCAAUCUUUAUGAAUUUUUAUUAAAAUAAAUAACGUUUUGUCAAGACAUACUGCAACUUUUCAAUGCAAUGUUUUCCAACAGAGGUGCUGUUUUACUGUAACUGGAUUAAAACAUGAAUUGAGAUGAA
This is a long non-coding RNA of Coregonus clupeaformis (lake whitefish), 987 nucleotides long. RefSeq lists it as uncharacterized. Lineage: Eukaryota; Metazoa; Chordata; Actinopteri; Salmoniformes; Salmonidae. The record is from RefSeq and is a predicted model, not a curated record. The transcript is spliced from 2 exons.